UGGGGAAUUUUGGACAAUGGGCGAAAGCCUGAUCCAGCAAUGCCGCGUGUGUGAAGAAGGCCUUCGGGUUGUAAAGCACUUUUGUCCGGAAAGAAAUGGCUCUGGUUAAUACCUGGGGUCGAUGACGGUACCGGAAGAAUAAGGACCGGCUAACUACGUGCCAGCAGCCGCGGUAAUACGUAGGGUCCAAGCGUUAAUCGGAAUUACUGGGCGUAAAGCGUGCGCAGGCGGUUGUGCAAGACCGAUGUGAAAUCCCCGAGCUUAACUUGGGAAUUGCAUUGGUGACUGCACGGCUAGAGUGUGUCAGAGGGGGGUAGAAUUCCACGUGUAGCAGUGAAAUGCGUAGAGAUGUGGAGGAAUACCGAUGGCGAAGGCAGCCCCCUGGGAUAACACUGACGCUCACGCACGAAAGCGUGGGGAGCAAACAGG
Molecule: ribosomal RNA, 429 nt
Filed under: bacterium
Lineage: Bacteria
Description: partial 16S ribosomal RNA
Rfam family: Bacterial small subunit ribosomal RNA
Source: RNAcentral